AGCGAACGUUUGCGGCGGGCUUAACACAUGCAAGUCGAACGAGAAUCCCUUCGGGGAGGAAAGUGGCGCACGGGUGCGUAACCCGUGGAUAACCAACCCAUUGGUUUGGGACAACACCGGGAAACUGGUGCUAAUACCAGAUGUGUCGCAGCUGUCUUCAGGCGGUUGCGAGGAAGGCCCGCAAGGGUCGCCAACGGACGGGUCCGCGUCCCAUCAGCUAGUUGGUGAGGUAAUGGCUCACCAAGGCAAAGACGGGUAGCUGGUCUGAGAGGAUGAUCAGCCACACUGGAACUGAGACACGGUCCAGACUCCUACGGGAGGCAGCAGUGGGGAAUAUUGCGCAAUGGGCGAAAGCCUGACGCAGCCACGCCGCGUGAGCGAUGAAGGUCUUCGGAUCGUAAAGCUCUGUGGGGGGAGAAGAAGAAAGCCGGUGAAGAGCCGGCCCUGACGGUAUCCCCUUAGCAAGCACCGGCUAACUCCGUGCGAGCAGCCGCGGU
RNAcentral lists this ribosomal RNA (497 nucleotides) under uncultured bacterium. RNAcentral describes it as "bacterial SSU rRNA". It matches the Rfam family "Bacterial small subunit ribosomal RNA", at positions 29 to 521 of the family's 1533-position model. The record is from RNAcentral.